Molecule: ribosomal RNA, 463 nt
Filed under: uncultured bacterium
Lineage: Bacteria
Description: bacterial SSU rRNA
Rfam family: Bacterial small subunit ribosomal RNA
Source: RNAcentral
CUACGGAACUCCUACGGGAGGCAGCAGUGGGGAAUAUUGCACAAUGGGCGAAAGCCUGAUGCAGCGACGCCGCGUGAGGGAUGACGGCCUUCGGGUUGUAAACCUCUUUCAGUAGGGAAGAAGCGAGAGUGACGGUACCUGCAGAAGAAGCGCCGGCUAACUACGUGCCAGCAGCCGCGGUAAUACGUAGGGCGCAAGCGUUGUCCGGAAUUAUUGGGCGUAAAGAGCUUGUAGGUGGCUUGUCGCGUCUGCCGUGAAAACCCGAGGCUCAACCUCGGGCGUGCGGUGGGUACGGGCAGGCUAGAGUGUGGUAGGGGAGACUGGAACUCCUGGUGUAGCGGUGAAAUGCGCAGAUAUCAGGAAGAACACCGAUGGCGAAGGCAGGUCUCUGGGCCAUUACUGACACUGAGAAGCGAAAGCAUGGGUAGCGAACAGGAUUAGAUACCCUUGUAGUCCUCUUCGA